RNAcentral lists this ribosomal RNA (253 nucleotides) under uncultured bacterium. Its description in RNAcentral is "partial 16S ribosomal RNA". It matches the Rfam family "Bacterial small subunit ribosomal RNA", at positions 524 to 776 of the family's 1533-position model. The record is from RNAcentral.
UACGUAGGGACCAAGUGUUGUCCGGAAUCAUUGGGCGUAAAGAGCGUGUAGGCGGCUUGUUAAGUCUUGCGUGAAAUCUCGGGGCUCAACCCCGAGCGGUCGUGAGAAACUGGCAGGCUAGAGUGCGGGAGAGGAGAGUGGAAUUCCUGGUGUAGCGGUGAAAUGCGCAGAUAUCAGGAAGAACACCCGUGGCGAAGGCGGCUCUCUGGAACGCAACAGACGCUGAGACGCGAAAGCGUGGGGAGCAAACAGG